This 486-nucleotide ribosomal RNA is filed under the name uncultured bacterium. RNAcentral describes it as "partial 16S ribosomal RNA". It matches the Rfam family "Bacterial small subunit ribosomal RNA", at positions 30 to 507 of the family's 1533-position model. The record is from RNAcentral.
AUUGAACGCUGGCGGCAUGCCUUACACAUGCAAGUCGAACGGCAGCACGGGUGCUUGCCCCUGGUGGCGAGUGGCGAACGGGUGAGUAAUACAUCGGAACAUGUCCUGUAGUGGGGGAUAGCCCGGCGAAAGCCGGAUUAAUACCGCAUACGAUCUACGGAUGAAAGCGGGGGACCUUCGGGCCUCGCGCUAUCGGGUUGGCCGAUGGCUGAUUAGCUAGUUGGUGGGGUAAAGGCCUACCAAGGCGACGAUCAGUAGCUGGUCUGAGAGGACGACCAGCCACACUGGGACUGAGACACGGCCCAGACUCCUACGAGAGGCAGCAGUGGGGAAUUUUGGACAAUGGGCGAAAGCCUGAUCCAGCAAUGCCGCGUGUGUGAAGAAGGCCUUCGGGUUGUAAAGCACUUUUGUCCGGAAAGAAAUCCUUGGCUCUAAUACAGUCGGGGGAUGACGGUACCGGAAGAAUAAGCACCGGCUAACUACGUG